AAAGCUUGCUUUUAAAGUUAGCGGCGGACGGGUGAGUAACRCGUGGGCAACCUGCCUGUAAGACUGGGAUAACUUCGGGAAACCGGAGCUAAUACCGGAUAAUCCUUUUCUACACRUGUARAAAAGCUGAAAGACGGUUUACGCUGUCMCUUACMGAUGGGCCCGCGGCGCAUUAGCUASUUGGWGAGGUAACGGCUCACCAAGGCAACGAUGCSUAGCCGACCUGAGAGGGUGAUCGGCCACACUGGGACUGAGACACGGCCCAGACUCCUACGGGAGGCAGCAGUAGGGAAUCUUCCGCAAUGGACRAAAGUCUGACGGAGCAACGCCSCGUGAGUGAUGAAGGUUUUCGGAUCGUAAAACUCUGUUGUUAGGGAAGAACAAGUACAAGAGUAACUGCUUGUACCUUGACGGUACCUAACCAKAAAGCCMCGGCUAACUACSUGCCARCGGCCGCGGUAAUACGUAGGUGGCAAGCGUUGUCCGGAAUUAUUGGGCGUAAAGCGCGCGCAGGCGGUCCUUUAAGUCUGAUGUGAAAGCCCACGGCUCAWCCGUGGAGGGUCAUUGGAAACUGGGGGAC
RNAcentral lists this ribosomal RNA (580 nucleotides) under Niallia circulans. Its description in RNAcentral is "partial 16S ribosomal RNA". The record is from RNAcentral. Lineage: Bacteria; Bacillati; Bacillota; Bacilli; Caryophanales; Bacillaceae.